Molecule: ribosomal RNA, 907 nt
Filed under: uncultured bacterium
Lineage: Bacteria
Description: bacterial SSU rRNA
Rfam family: Bacterial small subunit ribosomal RNA
Source: RNAcentral
GUUUAAGUCAGCUGUGAAAUGGUGCGGCUCAACCGUAGCACUGCAGUUGAAACUGGACGGCUUGAGUGCAGUUGAGGCAGGCGGAAUUNGUGGUGUAGCGGUGAAAUGCUUAGAUAUCACGAAGAACCCCGAUUGCGAAGGCAGCCUGCUAAGCUGCAACUGACGUUGAGGCUCGAAAGUGUGGGUAUCAAACAGGAUUAGAUACCCUGGUAGUCCACACGGUAAACGAUGGAUACUCGCUGUUGGCGAUAUACUGUCAGCGGCCAAGUGAAAACGUUAAGUAUCCCACCUGGGGAGUACGCCGGCAACGGUGAAACUCAAAGGAAUUGACGGGGGCCCGCACAAGCGGAGGAACAUGUGGUUUAAUUCGAUGAUACGCGAGGAACCUUACCCGGGCUUGAAUUGCAGACGAGUCAUCCGGAGACGGAUGAGCCGCAAGGCGUCUGUGAAGGUGCUGCAUGGUUGUCGUCAGCUCGUGCCGUGAGGUGUCGGCUUAAGCGCCAUAACGAGCGCAACCCUUUCCGCCGGUUACUAACAGGUUAUGCUGAGGACUCCGACGGUACUGCCAUCGUAAGAUGUGAGGAAGGUGGGGAUGACGUCAAAUCAGCACGGCCCUUACGUCCGGGGCUACACACGUGUUACAAUGGGGGGUACAGAAGGCAGCGACCGGGCGACCGGAAGCGAAUCCCGAAAGCCCCUCUCAGUUCGGACUGGAGUCUGCAACCCGACUCCACGAAGCUGGAUUCGCUAGUAAUCGCGCAUCAGCCACGGCGCGGUGAAUACGUUCCCGGGCCUUGUACACACCGCCCGUCAAGCCAUGAAAGCCGGGGGUACCUGAAGUGCGUAACCGCGAGGAGCGCCCUAGGGUAAAACCGGUAAUUGGGGCUAAGUCGUAACAAGGUAACCA